CGUCAAAACAGUUUAAGUCAGUCUUUAACCUUUUAGCAGACUAGUUGGGGAAUAUUCCACAAGAGAGCAAGUGAGAACCUGCAAGGUCACAUAGACCUAGGCUGUGAAGGGUCAUGUUAUGACUUAUACUCUUAUGCCAUUAGCCAAAGUAAGUCAAACAAACAAGCACAAACUCAAGGCACAGGCAUACACCACCCGCUAGGAGGCCAUGCCAAGGGUGUGGAUACAUGGAAGGGUGAAGAACUGGACUAGUCUUUCAAUACCACAGCCCCUUUCUUCUCUAGGCGUGGAGCUGCUAGGAGUGAGCCCCACAUCAGACAUCUGUCUCUGGUAGGAGAAGACAGUCAAGAUCCAGAGAGAUGCAAUGGAAGACAGGAUGGGAGAAGGUCCCAAUCAUUUUCUAGUUAUUAAUAACAGUUUUGGCUGUGCUUAGAUUGCUGCACUUGGGAGGUUUGGUUAAUCAACUUUUUGUUUUGUUUUGUUUUGUUUUGUUUUUGUUUUACUAGGAGGU
This 511-nucleotide long non-coding RNA is filed under the name Homo sapiens (human). RNAcentral describes it as "LHRI_LNC690.1". The record is from RNAcentral. Lineage: Eukaryota; Metazoa; Chordata; Mammalia; Primates; Hominidae.